AUCCGGUUGACGAGUCCCAAAUAGGACGAAACGCGGGUCCUGAAU
Molecule: non-coding RNA, 45 nt
Filed under: Schistosoma mansoni
Lineage: Eukaryota; Metazoa; Platyhelminthes; Trematoda; Strigeidida; Schistosomatidae
Source: RNAcentral